GAAUUUAAGGAUGAGUGCAUGGUUUAAUCUAUUAUUUUUACAAUUUAUGAAUUAUUUGAUAUUUAUUUCAAAACAGUACUUUAGCUGUAAAAUUGUCAAAACUUUAAAACUCCUAUUUACAUAACACCAUGGUUGUGAAUAUAAAUAUUUGAUUUGCAUUCAAUAUCCCCCUUCCCACCCCCUGACCCAAGAUUAGAUGUGUAUUCAAUAUCCCUCCUCCCCCACCC
RNAcentral lists this long non-coding RNA (227 nucleotides) under Mytilus galloprovincialis (Mediterranean mussel). The record is from RNAcentral. Lineage: Eukaryota; Metazoa; Mollusca; Bivalvia; Mytilida; Mytilidae.